RNAcentral lists this long non-coding RNA (1123 nucleotides) under Chloebia gouldiae (Gouldian finch). Its description in RNAcentral is "Erythrura gouldiae (Gouldian finch) lncRNA (ENSEGOG00005010733.1)". Lineage: Eukaryota; Metazoa; Chordata; Aves; Passeriformes; Passeridae. The record is from RNAcentral.
CCAAAGUGUCCCCAAAGUGUCCCCAGGUGUCCCCAGGGUGUCCCCAAAGUGUCCCCAAAGUGUCCCCAGGGUGCCCCGGUGUCGCCAAACUCCCAAAAAUGCCCCAAAACUGCCUCAAAAGGCUCCAAAAUAUCCCCAAAUCCCCCAAAAACUGGGCCCAAAGUGUCCCCAAGUGUCUCCAAAGUGUCCCCAAAUGUCUCCAGGGUGUCCCCAAAGUGUCCCCAAAGUGUCCCCAGGGUGCCCCGGUGUCGCCAAACACCCAAAAAUGCCCCAAAACUGCCUCAAAAUGCCCCAAAACACCCCCAAAUCCCACCAAAAACUGGGCCCAAAGUGUCCCCAAGUGUCCCCAAAGUGUCCCCAAAGUGUCCCCAAAGUGUCCCCAGGGUGUCUCAGUGUCACCAAACACCCAAAAAUGCCCCAAAACCGCCUCAAAAUGCCCCAAAAUACGCCCAAAUCCCCCCAAAAACUGGGCCCAAAGUGUCCCCAGGUGUCCCCAAAGUGUCCCCAAAGUGUCCCCAAAGUGUCCCCAAAGUGUCCCCAGGGUGUCCCCAGGGUCCCCAAAGUGUCACCAGACACCCCAAAAAUGGCCCAAAACAGCCACAAAAUGCCCCAAAAGUGCCUCAAAAUGCCCCAAAACACCCCCAAGUCCCCAAAAAUUUGUCCCCAAAUUGUCCCCAAAUUGUCCCCAAGUGUCCCCAGGGUGUCUCCAAGAGUCCCCAGGGGGGCAGUCCCCAAAAAUCCCCAAAUUUGGCCCCAAAUUCCCUCAGGUUGGUCCCAAAUUCUCUACAGGGGACCCCGAAAUGUCCCCAAAUCCCCAAAAAUGCCCCCAGAAACCCCAAAAGUGACCUCAAGGUGUCCCCAAGGUGUCCCCAAGCUGUCCCAAUGUCCCCAAAGUGCCACCAAACACUCCAAAAAUGGCCCAAAAUGGCCUCAAAAUGCCCCAAAUUGUCCCCAAAUGCCCAAAAAUUGUCCCCAAAAAUUGUCCCUCAAGUGUCCCCAAGGUGUCCCCAGGGUGUCCCCAGGUGCCCCCAGCUGUCCCCAAAGUGUCCCCAAGGUGUCCCCAGCUGUCCCCAGCUGUCCCCAAGGUGUCCCCAGCUGUCCCCAGGUGUCCCCAAGGUGUCCC